RNAcentral lists this ribosomal RNA (115 nucleotides) under Acanthosepion pharaonis. The record is from RNAcentral. Lineage: Eukaryota; Metazoa; Mollusca; Cephalopoda; Sepiida; Sepiidae.
UUUGCGGCCACAUCAGGUUGAAACGCCGGUUCCUGUACGAUCACCAAAGUUAAACAACGCCGAACCUGGUCAGCACCUAGAUGGGUGACCACUUGGAAAUACCAGGUGCUGUAAG